Long non-coding RNA from Bufo bufo (common toad), 363 nucleotides. RefSeq lists it as uncharacterized. The record is from RefSeq and is a predicted model, not a curated record. NCBI's taxonomy places the organism in Eukaryota, Metazoa, Chordata, Amphibia, Anura, Bufonidae. The transcript has 3 exons.
GUAUGCCCUCCGCCCCUCCCCAGCGACCCGAUUAGUUUCGGGCCUAAGGGAUGCGUGGGGUGUCUGCCCUCUGCCUCUCCCCAGUAACCCGAGUCGUUCCGUCCCUGCGGUGCGCCCUGUGCGGCGGCACAUCUUCUCCGCGGUCGACACCCAAACACCUGAACGGGCAGGAAAAUGUGUUUGAAACCGUGCGGUCUCGCCACGGGGAGGACCUCCCGGGCCUAAGGGACGCGUGGGUCGUACGCCCUCCGCCGCUCCCCAGCGACCCGAUUAGUUUCGGGCCUAAGGGAUGCGUGGGGUGGUGUCUGCCCUCUGUCACUCCCCAGUAACCCGGGUUCGUUCCCGUCCCCGUGCGGCGUUCCC